RNAcentral lists this ribosomal RNA (447 nucleotides) under uncultured bacterium. RNAcentral describes it as "SSU rRNA". It matches the Rfam family "Bacterial small subunit ribosomal RNA", at positions 26 to 518 of the family's 1533-position model. The record is from RNAcentral.
AGAGCGAACGCUGGCGGCAGGCUUAACACAUGCAAGUCGAGCGGGCGUAGCAAUACGUCAGCGGCAGACGGGUGAGUAACGCGUGGGAACGUACCUUUUGGUUCGGAACAACCCAGGGAAACUUGGGCUAAUACCGGAUAAGCCCUUACGGGGAAAGAUUUAUCGCCGAAAGAUCGGCCCGCGUCUGAUUAGCUAGUUGGUGAGGUAAUGGCUCACCAAGGCGACGAUCAGUAGCUGGUCUGAGAGGAUGAUCAGCCACAUUGGGACUGAGACACGGCCCAAACUCCUACGGGAGGCAGCAGUGGGGAAUAUUGGACAAUGGGCGCAAGCCUGAUCCAGCCAUGCCGCGUGAGUGAUGAAGGCCCUAGGGUUGUAAAGCUCUUUUGUGCGGGAAGAUAAUGACGGUACUGCAAGAAUAAGCCCGGCUAACUUCGUGCCAGCAGCCGC